UACGUAGGGGGCAAGCGUUGUCCGGAAUCAUUGGGCGUAAAGAGCGUGUAGGCGGCCCGAUAAGUCCGCUGUGAAAGUCCAGGGCUCAACCCUGGAAUGCCGGUGGAUACUGUCGGGCUCGAAUCCGGAAGAGGUGAGUGGAAUUCCUGGUGUAGCGGUGAAAUGCGCAGAUAUCAGGAGGAACACCUAUUGCGAAGGCAGCUCGCUGGGACGUUACUGACGCUGAGACGCGAAAGCGUGGGGAGCAAACAGG
Molecule: ribosomal RNA, 253 nt
Filed under: uncultured bacterium
Lineage: Bacteria
Description: partial 16S ribosomal RNA
Rfam family: Bacterial small subunit ribosomal RNA
Source: RNAcentral